GUCCGCACAGUAAACGAUGAUAACUAACUGUCGGCGAUACACAGUCGGUGGUAAAGAGAAAUCGAUAAGUUAUCCACCUGGGGAGUACGACCGCAAGGUUGAAACUCAAAGGAAUUGACGGGGGCCCGCACAAGCGGAGGAACAUGUGGUUUAAUUCGAUGAUACGCGAGGAACCUUACCCGGGCUCGAACGGCUAUGGAAUUACAUAGAGAUAUGUAAGUCUGCAAAGACUGUAGUCGAGGUGCUGCAUGGUUGUCGU
Molecule: ribosomal RNA, 259 nt
Filed under: uncultured bacterium
Lineage: Bacteria
Description: partial 16S ribosomal RNA
Rfam family: Bacterial small subunit ribosomal RNA
Source: RNAcentral